AACCUAAUUUUACAAACCUGAUUUCACUCUGUUCUCUCAUUUCUGCCGCAUACAUUCCUCUCUUAUCAUCACUUUCUUUCAUUUCUUAAUCAUUAUAUUUUCUUUUCAUUUGAUCGAGUUAGUGAAGACUGUUAGGAGUGGCUUUCAACGAGUUUGUUCAUGGCGAAUUUUUGCCGGCGAUCUUCUCUCCUAAGCGUUUCUUUUUAUUAUUAGAAUGAAGAAGAAAAAAAAAGUGAUCGGAGAUGACGAACAGAGGUAUGGGUCUUUAAUCAAAUCGGUUCGGCUUUUAAGAAUUCGAUUGGCUUUGAUGGGUUUUGAAAAUCAGCGAGUACGUCAGAUUGACAGAUUUGAAGAGAUAGAAAGAAAGAAGUAAUUUCAGAUUUGAGGAGUUAAGUUCUAGCUUUAAUGUUUGAUAUUCUUUGUAUUCAUUCGUAUGGGACUUAAAGUGUGAUUUUUUGUUUUCUAUUUUCAUUCUCAUAAUCAUAUUUGAUAACAAGCGUUACCACAACAGAAGAGAAAAGGGGCUAAAAGAAAAUAAACUCUGCCUACUGUGUUUGUUUUCCUUGGUGGGGCUCAAAAUUGAGAUUGAUUGAUAUUUGGGGUGUGACAGGAUUGUGAUUUUCUGUUUUAUCUAUCUGUUGACUUAAUCAAAACAAUGGCGUUAAACUUGCCGGAAUUACAGCAAGCUCAAUGCAUCCUCAAGCUCAGUGAGGCCAAAGAUAACAGAGCAAUUGAAUAUGUUUUCUUUUGGUUGAUUUAUGAGUUUUCUGGUUUAAAAUUGAUUGAAAAAUUUCUUAUUCUCUCUUGGUUGACAGAAUCUAUUGAGACAAAGGAGGAAGUACCAUAAAAAUGGACUCUGGGGAUUCACAUUUUGAAGAAUGAAGAAGAAGAAAAAAAGUGAUCGGAGAUGACGAACGGAGGUAUGGGGCUUUAAUCAAAUCGGUUCGGCUUUGAUUUGUUUAGGCCAUGGAUUUCCUUUGAUUUUAAGGAUUCGAUUGGCUUUGAUGGAUUUUGAAAAUCAGUGAGUACAUCAGAUUGACAGAUUUGAAGAGAUAGAAAGAAAGAAGUAAUUUCAGAUUUGAGGAGUUAAGAUUUGAUAACAAGCGUUACCACAACUGAAGAGAAAAGGGGCUAAAAAAAACUAAACUCUGCCUACUUUGUUGGUUUUUCCUUGGUGGGGCUCAAAAUUGAGAUUGAUUGAUAUUUGGGGUGUGAUAGGAUUGUGAUUUUCUGUUUCAUCUAUCUGUUCAACUUAAUCGAAACAAUGGCGAUAGACUUGCCGGAAUAUCAGCAAGCUCAAUGCAUCCUCAAGCUCAUUGAGGCCAAAGAAACUAUUGAGACAAAGGAGGGAGUACCAUAAAAAUGGACUUUGGGGAUUCACAUUUUGAAGAGUUUGGAGUGUCUCCAUGCUAAAAAGAGAAGAGAAAAAUGGAGAGCUGAAUUUCAGCUAAGUUGAAGAAAAUGGAAGAAGAAAAAUAAUUUGUGGAGAGUUUCUCUAGGCAUAUUGCUAUUGGAUUCCCUGAUGAUCUAUUUUUUUCAAUGAAUUGGGGCUGUUUAUAUAGCAAAUGACAGUGGUAGUUUUGUAAAUAUAGAAAAUUUAAUUAAUUAGGCUUAAUUGUAUUUAAUUUGAUGUAAUGUUGAUUAAAACUUCUCAAACCACAUUUAUAGCAUUCAAUCAUAUUUAAGCUACAAUGUUUUCACUAUUCUGAAACACUGUAGCAAAUAGUGCCACAAAAGACAAAAAUUGAUGUAAAUUAUUUGUUUUA
Mercurialis annua (annual mercury) is the source of this 1766-nucleotide long non-coding RNA. RefSeq lists it as uncharacterized. Lineage: Eukaryota; Viridiplantae; Streptophyta; Magnoliopsida; Malpighiales; Euphorbiaceae. The transcript has 7 exons. The record is from RefSeq and is a predicted model, not a curated record.